Molecule: long non-coding RNA, 771 nt
Organism: Pseudoliparis swirei
Lineage: Eukaryota; Metazoa; Chordata; Actinopteri; Perciformes; Liparidae
Exons: 2
Source: RefSeq, a predicted model, not a curated record
CUCGAGCUGCGGUUAAAGCUGCUGUGAUCGAUACUGAUCGAUCAGAGGACGACGUCACUCCGUCCCCUGCCGUGGCGAUGUAUAUGUGACGUCAGUCCGGCGGCAGAGCUCCGUCCUGAUUGGUUCACACCUUCUCGUGAGCGUCACCCGGCCCCGCCUACAUCUCCACCGUGGUGAUGAGCGUCAACAUGGAGAUGGCUUCCGUUGCUGCCUUCAGGGCCGAUGGGAGAGAACGGAACGCAACCGACUCGUUUCCGGUAUUUUUCGCCUCAAAUUUGACCCGUGAUGAAGUUUUUGCUUUUAUUAUUUUUUAUUAAAUACAAUUAAUACGACUGGAUUUAAGUAAAUAAAGGAAAGUAUGUAAAUAUAAAUGAAUAGUUUAUAUCAAACAAGAUAAAUAGGGGAGAAAAAAAAAUCUCUUUCAAAUAAAUGUCAAAACAUGUUUUAAGAGAGAAUUUUAAAAAAUAGCUUAUGUGAUGUCUAUGUACAGCUUUUUUAAUUAAUUUGGUAUUAAUAUUUGUAUUUUAUGUCUGUUUAUUUUAUUGUUUGAUUGGUGAUAACAGUGAAUAUGACCCCAGUCUGUGUUGCGUUUGUUGGACUUUAAUGUUAUUUAGCUUUGCUGUUAAAGCACUUUGUUUACUCUGUUCUUCUCUUCUCUGGCUUCAUACGUCACAAAAUGGACCAGUUGUAAUUUUAAGCACAACAUUCGUCUCUUGAAAGAAGAUUCCCUGGAUGUUUGUUAAAUUCGUGAUAAAUAAUAAUGACACAUAA